GAUGAACGCUGGCGGCGUGCUUAACACAUGCAAGUCGAACGGAAAGGCUCCAGCUUGCUGGAGUACUCGAGUGGCGAACGGGUGAGUAACACGUGGGUGAUCUGCCCUGCACUUCGGGAUAAGCCUGGGAAACUGGGUCUAAUACCGGAUAGGACCGCACUUUGGUGUGUGUGGUGGAAAGGUUUUUCUGGUGUGGGAUGAGCUCGCGGCCUAUCAGUUUGUUGGUGGGGUAAUGGCCUACCAAGACGGCGACGGGUAGCCGGCCUGAGAGGGUGGACGGUCACAUUGGGACUGAGAUACGGCCCAGAAUCCUACGGGAGGCAGCAGUGGGGAAUAUUGCACAAUGGGGGAAACCCUGAUGCAGCGACGCCGCGUGGGGGAUGAAGGCCUUCGGGUUGUAAACUCCUUUCGCUAGGGACGAAGCUUUUUGUGACGGUACCUGGAGAAGAAGCACCGGCUAACUACGUG
This 468-nucleotide ribosomal RNA is filed under the name uncultured bacterium. Its description in RNAcentral is "partial 16S ribosomal RNA". It matches the Rfam family "Bacterial small subunit ribosomal RNA", at positions 28 to 507 of the family's 1533-position model. The record is from RNAcentral.